This is a long non-coding RNA of Symphalangus syndactylus (siamang), 1519 nucleotides long. RefSeq lists it as uncharacterized. The record is from RefSeq and is a predicted model, not a curated record. NCBI's taxonomy places the organism in Eukaryota, Metazoa, Chordata, Mammalia, Primates, Hylobatidae.
UUGACGAGUGGUUGUAAUUGACGUCAAUCAACUUUAUAUCCCGCCCCCGCUGCGCCUGAGAGUCCCGAGAUAAAGAAGCCUCCACGUCAAGCAGCCAGAAGCGGUGAUAAGAAAAGCUUCCUGAUUGGUCAGAGUCUUGCUUGACCCAUCUUCGGGAGGAAUAGGGAUUCGCUACUCCCGCUGUCCUUCUAGAAGUGGGUUCGCCUACAAUGGGGCAGUUUGGGGUCUAGGCGGUCUGGAGCGGCGCCUGCGCAAUGGGCCAGGCCGCUGCUGUAGAGGCCGUUUUGACUUGAUUUGACUUCGCAGCGGUUCUCGCGGCUUCCCCGGUUCCCGGGUUCUGCACAGCGCGGCUAUUAUAGUGCAUCGAGAAGUUCAGUCCUUGCCCCGCAUCCCGCAGGGAAAUCUCAUUUUAAAAGCCCAAAGAUGUAAUGAGCGUUAAAUUCUAAAAUAUGAAUGUGUUUUAUUAAAGGGAUGUUUGUGAACAAAGGCAGAACAAAUACACUUUGAUGGGGCUAAGCGGUGAGACUCGGAAACUUGAAGUCGUACUUUCCUCUUAGUCCAUUUACUCUGCAAAAGGAGAAUGCAUCACUCACCUCGUUGCCCGUCACCCAGGGAGGCUCUCUGUGCGCGUUUACCGGGUUGGGGGUGCCUCCUGCACGCGGUUAGGGGGUCAGAGACCUAAAUCCCUGGCCUGGACAAGUCACUUCAUCCCUCAGCCUCUCAGGAUGGGCCUAGGAGAACCCGCCUUGUUGGGUGGUUGUGGGGAUGGAAGGAGAGAAACGUAUGAGUGCCUGGGAGAUAGUAGGUGCACACGUGAUUGUGGGGUGGAUGGGAGAGCGGAAGCUUAUCUGGACAGAUUUGGUUUAUCAUCGCUGUCACUGGUUGGCCGAAUGUAUCCCUUGUUCUCACUUUCUUGGGGCCCCUGGGAUUCUGAUGGCUCAUGCUGAAGGGAAGAGCAGCCCCUCAGCAAAGGUGCCUAUGCGAAAGUUCUACAUUCUCUCCAGACGCCUAGAACAUUCCACCUCUCCACCACUCUGCAUCUCAGAGUGGCUGCCAGCCUUGUGUGGGGGAAUAAACAUACACACUCUAUGAAUGACUGAUGGUUUCGGCCCCGAAUCCAGAGUAAAUGCAAGUUGUCUGAGAUGUUCUUUCCUUGGGAUUCAUUCCUGGUGCUACGGUAAAGGUAAUAAUCACACCCGCCUCACAGGGCUGUUCUCUGUUCCCCACUCACUGUCUCCCUUUUGUUGCUGCUACUCUGUGUGAUUUUAGUCAGCAUCAUCAUAAGAGCAUUGUGGAACUUUCCAGAGAGAUGGUAAACACUUGUAUGGUGAAUUCUGUCCCCCUUCACCUCAUGGACCCAAGGGCCUUCUAUACAUUUCUGUGACUGAAGUUGGUUGAAUCCAGAGAUGUGGAACCCGUGGAUGCAGAGGGCCACCUAUAUUCCAUAUUUAUUAGUUUAUUUGUAUGGUAUCUGUUGCCCUCCACUAGAAGGUAAGCUUCAUGAGAACUGACACUUGGU